RNAcentral lists this small RNA (92 nucleotides) under Bombyx mori (domestic silkworm). RNAcentral's name for it is "Bm_163". The record is from RNAcentral. Lineage: Eukaryota; Metazoa; Arthropoda; Insecta; Lepidoptera; Bombycidae.
ACUUGAGACAUGAGGUUUGAAAGUCGCACAGUGUCUUCACUGUACUUGUUUUUGUAGAGGAAUCGUGCAUUUGCAUGUACGAAACCUUCAUU